This 460-nucleotide ribosomal RNA is filed under the name uncultured bacterium. Its description in RNAcentral is "partial 16S ribosomal RNA". It matches the Rfam family "Bacterial small subunit ribosomal RNA", at positions 338 to 795 of the family's 1533-position model. The record is from RNAcentral.
CCUACGGGCGGCAGCAGUGAGGAAUAUUGGUCAAUGGACGCAAGUCUGAACCAGCCAUGCCGCGUGCAGGAAGACGGCUCUAUGAGUUGUAAACUGCUUUUGUACGAGGGUAAACGCAGAUACGCGUAUCUGUCUGAAAGUAUCGUACGAAUAAGGAUCGACUAACUCCGUGCCAGCAGCCGCGGUAAUACGGAGGAUUCAAGCGUUAUCCGGAUUUAUUGGGUUUAAAGGGUGCGUAGGCGGUCGGAUAAGUUAGAGGUGAAAUCCCGAGGCGCAACUUCGGAAUUGCCUCUGAUACUGGUCGGCUUGAGAGUAGUUGCGGUAGGCGGAAUGUAUGGUGUAGCGGUGAAAUGCUUAGAGAUCAUACAGAACACCGAUUGCGAAGGCAGCUUACCAAGCUACUUCUGACGUUGAGGCACGAAAGCGUGGGGAGCAAACAGGAUUAGAUACCCUUGUAGUC